AAAACCUGAAGAUGAUCCUGAGU
RNAcentral lists this non-coding RNA (23 nucleotides) under Drosophila melanogaster (fruit fly). The record is from RNAcentral. Lineage: Eukaryota; Metazoa; Arthropoda; Insecta; Diptera; Drosophilidae.